Long non-coding RNA from Gasterosteus aculeatus aculeatus (three-spined stickleback), 1110 nucleotides. NCBI's taxonomy places the organism in Eukaryota, Metazoa, Chordata, Actinopteri, Perciformes, Gasterosteidae. The record is from Ensembl.
CUGGUAAUGAAAGCCUCCCACACAGCGGCCUUCUGCACAGAUGCAAACACGCCUCCUCCCGCGCGUCAGUGGCCUGUGGUGAACUCAGGGCGGGUAAAGUUUGAUUAGGUUAGCCCGAUCUAAGAGGACAAGAGCCCAUUGAUUAGCUCAUGAAUAGCCAACCGUUGCAUUUCUCUGAAGCCACGCAGGUAGAGAGAGGACCCCACCAAAUGUGGAGCGAAGAUUUCGUCAGUUUCCCCGUCGUGACUUUAACAUCUUCUGCACCGUGUUGUCAUCCGGGGAGAAACGUCAUUUGUCGCCGUAGCCCGCUCACGCAAUCGAUCCCUUCGACAUGAGGACAACGGCUAUCGUCUUUGCUCUGACGGAAAGCCCCGUCUGCCCCAGAGGGUCCUGCAGCGGAGAAGGUCGGGGCAGAACCUCGGCCUGCGCCGCCCCGCAGGGACCUUGUUGUCUUUGGUCCACUUUCUGUUCAUUCCCCGCACAGCUGAAAGGGAAGAACGGAUCUCUGUUUGAGACGCUACCUGCUGGAUAUUUAUGCAGCUGUGAGGCUGAAGAGGACCUUUGAUAUCUUAUUCAGGCUUCACACACAAACACACUGAGUCCUCUGUGGAACCAGAACCAUCAGCGAAAAACACACACACACACACACUGCUCGCCGGUCCGUCCACCAUCGGCGUGGGGACCUCGGAGCUCGACCCCGAGGCCCCGAGGGUGGAAGUGGUCUCGAGGUCACAGUAAGAUAAAUCCAUGAAAACGGGUGAACAGGAUGUGUGAUCCCACCCAGACGAAAGGAACGCACACUAUUAGAACUGUAAUGUAUAAAUGGAUCAAGCUGCUUAGCAACAAGACAGCGUUCUCUCCUCACAUGUACGGACAUUUAUUUAAAGACAAACGCUUUUCAGACGGAUUUGUAUUCGUCACACAGGCACAAGCACAUCGUGCAGUGACCGUGAAACCCACUGUACAUUGUGCGUGCUUGCAACUAUUGUUAAACCUGUAAGGGUUUAUAGCAAGGUGCUACUUGGUAACAGCUACUAUCCAAUGGAACUGGCCCAGCUGUUAUGGUAUUGCCAGUUUAAGCAUCUAAUAAAAGAAAUGCAUUGAUUUUUA